UACUUAUCAAAAAAAUUCAUCAUCGUAUUCAAAACAAGAAAAUAUCACAGUCAAAUUAUUGUCCAGUGCUAGAAAUCUUGUCAAGUGAAACUUUAACAGAGGUGUCCUUGGAAGAAUCUCGCCCAAUGCCUGCUACAGUGCACGCAACGCCAAUUAUAGGGCACCUAACGCUAUUUUUGACGCCUAGGCGAAAAUCCAUGGCCGCCCAA
RNAcentral lists this long non-coding RNA (209 nucleotides) under Vigna radiata. Its description in RNAcentral is "long non-coding RNA (VRAD_LNC016951)". Lineage: Eukaryota; Viridiplantae; Streptophyta; Magnoliopsida; Fabales; Fabaceae. The record is from RNAcentral.